Molecule: long non-coding RNA, 1403 nt
Organism: Pecten maximus
Lineage: Eukaryota; Metazoa; Mollusca; Bivalvia; Pectinida; Pectinidae
Exons: 3
Source: RefSeq, a predicted model, not a curated record
ACUACCCUCGGGGAAAAUGACAACGCACGUUUUCACUACGCAUGGGCAUAAAUUCCUUACAUACAGCUGUCGUCUGCGUUUUCUAGACUUGCCGGUUUCCUUCUCCGAAGGAUGUUGUUGGUCUUAUAAUGCUAAAAUUCAAGGUCAUCUUGUUUUCGAAAUCGAUUGUUUUGGCUUUGCCGUUCACAAGAUGAGAUACCAGGACUUGUGACUCGUCACCAGCUACAUAAUUACGUUAUAGGUCUACUGUACAGUAGUUCUAGUACAUUCUACUGAGUAGGACUGAACUGUUCUGUGCAUAUUUAAUAUAUAGGCACUAUGUUGUUACUAUGUUGACUAAUCAAUUGAUUUGGAACUGUUUUUUACUUGUAAUUGUGCACAAUUACAUAUACAACUUAUAGUAACUUUACUGUUAUCUCAUGAUCAAUGACUGUAAGUGGUGUAUAACAAUGGCCGAUGAAUAUCCAUGGCAGACCUAGGCUACAGCACAGGUAUUUCGAAGGUGUAUGAGAUAGACGUCACAAUAGAUGCAAUAAGAGAGUUUUCUUAUGCCACAUCUUCAUCAUAUGCAUUGACAAAAUGCACAAAGAAUUUUGGUUUAUUCAAUCCAGGGGCUGAUCAUAAAGAAGAUCAUUUUAUCAGGUUUACUGAUGACAACAAACUCAUUCACGCCAGAAGACUUUCUCCUGAUGGGAUUCCAUUAAUGAAUGUUGGCCUGAAAUUAUUUGAAUAGUCAUCAAGGACCAUCACAUAGAAAGUCAGCCAAGAGUUCCAACUAAACUGAUGCAGACCAUGGUUAUAGCCAAAUACAAAGCAAGCGCAUGCUUACGGUAACGAAGAAAAGAGGAUGUCUGGCAUCAAUCCUGUUACGGGAAAUUAUUUUCUUUCCAGAGUACAAGGGGCGAACUUGAUAAUGUCCCGAAUAUGUGGUCGCAAUUUCGGCAGAUGCCGAUCGGCGUUAAUUCCUGCUGGUUUGGAAGCACCAGCAAACAAGAUGGCGAUGUGCUCAACCAAAAGAUUAGAUUAGAAUAAAUAAAUAAAUAAAUAAAUAAAUAAAUAAAUAAAUAAAUAAAUUAAAUAAAUAAAUAAAUAUGUUUUGGUCUAUGUUGGCCAUAUUGCAACUGAGCCGCUUUGCUUGAAUGUAGCUAUAUAGGUGCCGGCAACAAACUCGAAACCGGCAAAUGGCAAGCUAGAAUCAAGUCAUCUUCACUUACCAAGGGUUACUCUACGUUAAGCUAAUGAACGAAGCCAAGGGUGAAAUGGAGCCUAGCGUAGAUGGAAUCAGGUUCGCCCAAGGUAUCUAGUUCUGCUGGCCCUCAUUUCACUCUGACCUAUCUGAGGACACCCCUAUCGGUGAAGAAAACUUCGGGCGGCACGAAUUAGGCUACUCCAAAAAAAAACCC